UAUGGCUUCACUUGUAGUAACCUGGCCAAGCUCCCGCCAGUCCUUGGCUUUUUCCACUGCCCUGGAAAUGAUCGGAAAUUAUAAGGGGAUUUUCUUCCCUUCUCCCCUCUUUGCCAUCAAUUAGAGUUUGAGGCUGGACUAAAGAGACAGGGGCACACACUUCCUAGACAGACACAGAUACAGAGCGUCAGUGACUCAAAGGAGGAAGUAUUUCAAGGAAGAGUGAUAGAAGAGAGUUGACUUUAGAUUCCAAGAACCAUCCUUGGCCAUAGAGAGCAAAAAUAAAGGAGCAGUCCCGAGCCCCAUUGAGCAACUUUAGAAGGUAUCUGCCCACUAGGGAUCUGCACCAGGAUUCCAAGAGAAGAGAAAACAACAGGACUCCGUAACAUCUGACCAUGGGGAUUCCUAGCUUUGCAUCAUGGACUCCUUUGUCUGUCCAGUCAACUUCCUGGACUUCUUCUCAGAUGGUUCCUGUUUGUCUACCAAAAAGGUGGGAGCCAAAUGUCUGAACAUCCAAGCAGCUCCUUGCCCUCUGACAGUGGGUUGCCAUCAUCUCCUAAGCUGGCUAGAGACCGUGCAUGAAGAGGUCCGCUGGACUAGUGAAUCCAGUACAGAAACCACUUGUGUGUGAAAGCAUUCUCUCUCUAGCCAGGUCCUCUGAUUGAAAGAUACCCCACCCCCACGGAAGGAGCCACAGCUUCAAUAAUAAACAAGGGCCCCAUCGAGGGAUGGGGAGGGGACAUUGAAAGCUGUUGGCGUGUUUGUGACUCUCCACAGCCAAGAGGGAACAUGGCUUUUAUAAAUAGAGUCUGAAUGAUAAAAAUAUACCACAGAACAUCAGGCAAAUUGA
Long non-coding RNA from Antechinus flavipes (yellow-footed antechinus), 850 nucleotides. RefSeq lists it as uncharacterized. NCBI's taxonomy places the organism in Eukaryota, Metazoa, Chordata, Mammalia, Dasyuromorphia, Dasyuridae. The transcript has 3 exons. The record is from RefSeq and is a predicted model, not a curated record.